UCGAACGCGAAAGUGGAGCAAUCCAUGAGUAGAGUGGCAAACGGGUGAGUAACACGUGGGUGACCUGCCUUCGAGUGGGGGAUAACGUCCCGAAAGGGACGCUAAUACCGCAUGACAUCCUGCCCUUGAACGGGUGGAGAUCAAAGCUGGGGAUCGCAAGACCUAGCGCUUGGAGAGGGGCCCGCGUCCGAUUAGCUAGUUGGUGAGGUAACGGCUCACCAAGGCAACGAUCGGUAUCCGGCCUGAGAGGGCGGACGGACACACUGGGACUGAGACACGGCCCAGACUCCUACGGGAGGCAGCAGUGGGGAAUUGUUCGCAAUGGGCGCAAGCCUGACGACGCAACGCCGCGUGGAGGAUGAAGAUCUUCGGGUCGUAAACUCCUUUCGAUCGAGACGAACGGCUUCCGUGCUAAUCAACGGAAGAGUGACGGUACCGAGAGAAGAAGCCCCGGCUAACUCCGUGCCAGCAGCCGCGGUAAUACGGGGGGGGCAAGCGUUGUUCGGAAUUACUGGGCGUAAAGGGCUCGUAGGCGGCCAACUAAGUCAGACGUGAAAUCCCUCGGCUUAACCGGGGAACUGCGUCUGAUACUGGAUGGCUUGAGGUUGGGAGAGGGAUGCGGAAUUCCAGGUGUAGCGGUGAAAUGCGUAGAUAUCUGGAGGAACACCGGUGGCGAAGGCGGCAUCCUGGACCAAUUCUGACGCUGAGGAGCGAAAGCCAGGGGAGCAAACGGGAUUAGAUACCCCGGUAGUCCUGGCCCUAAACGAUGAAUGCUUGGUGUGGCGGGUAUCGAUCCCUGCCGUGCCGAAGCUA
Molecule: ribosomal RNA, 813 nt
Filed under: uncultured bacterium
Lineage: Bacteria
Description: bacterial SSU rRNA
Rfam family: Bacterial small subunit ribosomal RNA
Source: RNAcentral